This 163-nucleotide ribosomal RNA is filed under the name Hypochaeris glabra. RNAcentral's name for it is "5.8S ribosomal RNA". It matches the Rfam family "5.8S ribosomal RNA". Rfam says of the family: 5.8S ribosomal RNA (5.8S rRNA) is a component of the large subunit of the eukaryotic ribosome. It is transcribed by RNA polymerase I as part of the 45S precursor that also contains 18S and 28S rRNA. The record is from RNAcentral. RNAcentral also lists the same sequence under 2 other names. Lineage: Eukaryota; Viridiplantae; Streptophyta; Magnoliopsida; Asterales; Asteraceae.
AAACGACUCUCGGCAACGGAUAUCUCGGCUCACGCAUCGAUGAAGAACGUAGCAAAAUGCGAUACUUGGUGUGAAUUGCAGAAUCCCGUGAACCAUCGAGUUUUUGAACGCAAGUUGCGCCCGAAGCCAUUUGGCCGAGGGCACGCCUGCCUGGGCGUCACGC